RNAcentral lists this ribosomal RNA (550 nucleotides) under Tubuca paradussumieri. RNAcentral's name for it is "partial 16S rRNA". It matches the Rfam family "Bacterial large subunit ribosomal RNA", at positions 1829 to 2625 of the family's 2925-position model. The record is from RNAcentral. Lineage: Eukaryota; Metazoa; Arthropoda; Malacostraca; Decapoda; Ocypodidae.
GUCUGUUUGGAGAUAUAAAGAGUCUGGCCUGCCCACUGAUAGUUUUAAAGGGCCGCGGUAAUCUGACCGUGCAAAGGUAGCAUAAUCGUUAGUUUUUUAAUUGGAAUCUUGUAUGAAUGGUUGAACAAAAGAAUAACUGUCUCUAUAUUUUAUUUGAAUUUAACUUUUGAGUGAAAAGGCUUAAAUAUUUUAAAAAGACGAUAAGACCCUGUAAAGCUUGAUAAAUUUUAUUAUUUAAUUGAGUUAAUAUAGUUAUAAAAGUUUAAUGAGAGAAGUUUAUUUUAUUGGGGCGAUAAUGAUAAAAUGUUUUUAACUGUUGAUAAAAAAGACAAAGUUUAAUGUAUAUGUAUAUUUAAAUGAUCCUUAAGUUAAGAUUAAAAGUUUAAGUUACUUCAGGGAUAACAGCGUUAUUUUUCUUGAGAGUUCUUAUCGAAAGAAAAGUUUGCGACCUCGAUGUUGAAUUAAAAUUUCUAUAUAAUUGUAGCAGUUAUAUAAGAGGGUCUGUUCGACCUUUAAAUUUUUACAUGAUUUGAGUUCAGACCGGCGUGAG